RNAcentral lists this long non-coding RNA (381 nucleotides) under Homo sapiens (human). RNAcentral's name for it is "non-protein coding lnc-SCARF2-1:1". The record is from RNAcentral. Lineage: Eukaryota; Metazoa; Chordata; Mammalia; Primates; Hominidae.
UGUAAUCCCAGCCACUCAGGAGGCUGAGGCAGAAGAAUCGAUUGAACCCGGGAGGCGGAGGUUGCAGGUGAGCUGAGAUCACACCACUGCACUCCAGCCUGGCGACAGAGUGAGACUCUGUUUCAAACAAACAAACACACAAAAAAACACACACCUGCACACGACCCGACACACUCAGAUACUGAGACAAACACAUUCCCUGCAACACACACAAACACACAAUCCAUGAUACACCGACAAAAGAGACACUCAUCCUGCAGACACACAUCUUCCACCAGAUACACGGAAACAUGAGAGAAACACAUUAAACACACUACCUGCAGCACAUAGCUCACCACCAGACAGAAAUGCAGACAGGCUGGGUGCAGUGACUCACGCCUG